This 408-nucleotide ribosomal RNA is filed under the name Tripidium arundinaceum. Its description in RNAcentral is "eukaryotic LSU rRNA". The stretch from base 14 to 126 matches the Rfam family "5.8S ribosomal RNA", at positions 40 to 154 of the family's 154-position model. The record is from RNAcentral. Lineage: Eukaryota; Viridiplantae; Streptophyta; Magnoliopsida; Poales; Poaceae.
UAGCAUCGAAUUGAAAACGCAGCAAAAUGGGAAACUGACUGUGAUUGCAGAUCCGCGACCAUCGAGUUUUUGAACGCAAGUUGCGCCCGAGGCCUUCUGGUCGAGGGCACGUCUGCCUGGGCGUCAGCCAAAAGACACUCCCAACCCACCCUCGGGGAGGGACGUCGGUGUUCGGCCCCCCGUGCCGCAGGGCGCGGUGGGCCGAAGUUGGGGCUGCCGGCGAAUCGUGUCGGGCACAGCACGUGGUGGGCGACAUCAGUUGUUCUCGGUGCAGCGCCCCGGCGCGCGGCCGGCGCAUCGGCCCUAAGGACCCAUCGAGCACCGCAGCGCACCGCCGCUCGGACCGCGACCCCAGGUCAGUCGGGACUACCCGCUGAGUUUAAGCAUAUCAAAAAUUCGGGGAGGAAA